This 500-nucleotide ribosomal RNA is filed under the name uncultured bacterium. RNAcentral describes it as "bacterial SSU rRNA". It matches the Rfam family "Bacterial small subunit ribosomal RNA", at positions 15 to 507 of the family's 1533-position model. The record is from RNAcentral.
GAUCCUGGCUCAGGAUGAACGCUAGCGGCAGGCUUAAUACAUGCAAGUCGUGGGGCAGCAGGUUUGUAGCAAUACAGAUGCUGGCGACCGGCAAACGGGUGCGGAACACGUACAGAACCUCCCUUUGAGCGGGGAAUAGCCCAGAGAAAUCUGGAUUAAUACCCCAUAGUAUAAUGAAGUGGCAUCACUUUAUUAUUAAAGAUUUAUCACUCGAAGAUGGCUGUGCGGCUGAUUAGGUAGUUGGCGGGGUAAAGGCCCACCAAGCCUGCGAUCAGUAACUGGUGUGAGAGCACGACCAGUCACACGGGCACUGAGACACGGGCCCGACUCCUACGGGAGGCAGCAGUAAGGAAUAUUGGUCAAUGGAGGCAACUCUGAACCAGCCAUGCCGCGUGGAGGAUGAAGGUCCUCUGGAUUGUAAACUUCUUUUAUAUGGGACGAAAAAGGCUUUUCUAAGUCGUCUGACGGUACCAUAUGAAUAAGCACCGGCUAACUCCGUG